AGCGAACGCUAGCGGCAGGCCUAACACAUGCAAGUCGAACGAACUCUUCGGAGUUAGUGGCGGACGGGUGAGUAACACGUGGGAACGUGCCUUUAGGUUCGGAAUAACUCAGGGAAAAUUGUGCUAAUACCGACUGUGCCCUUCGGGGGAAAGAUUUAUCGCCUUUAGAGCGGCCCGCGUCUGAUUAGCUAGUUGGUGAGGUAACGGCUCACCAAGGCGACGAUCAGUAGCUGGUCUGAGAGGAUGGCCAGCCACACUGGGACUGAGACACGGCCCAGACUCCUACGGGAGGCAGCAGUGGGGAAUCUUGCGCAAUGGGCGAAAGCCUGACGCAGCCAUGCCGCGUGAAUGAUGAAGGUCUUAGGAUUGUAAAACUCUUUCACCGGGGACGAUAAUGACGGUACCCGGAGAAGAAGCCCCGGCUAACUUCGUGCCAGCCGCCGCAGUAA
Molecule: ribosomal RNA, 449 nt
Filed under: uncultured bacterium
Lineage: Bacteria
Description: partial 16S ribosomal RNA
Rfam family: Bacterial small subunit ribosomal RNA
Source: RNAcentral